AGAGCGAACGCUGGCGGCAGGCCUAACACAUGCAAGUCGAGCGCCCGUAGCAAUACGGGAGCGGCAGACGGGAUAGUAACACGUGGGAACGCGCCCUUCGGUUCGGAAUAACUCAGGGAAACUUGAGCUAAUACCGAAUACGCCCUUACGGGGAAAGAUUUAUUGCCGAAGGAACGGCCCGCGUCCGAUUAGCUAGUUGGUGAGGUAAUGGCUCACCAAGGCUACGAUCGGUAGCUGGUCUGAGAGGAUGACCAGCAUCACUGGGACUGAGACACGGCCCAGACUCCUACGGGAGGCAGCAGUGGGGAAUAUUGGACAAUGGGCGCAAGCCUGAUCCAGCCAUGCCGCGUGGAUGAUGAGGGCCUUAGGGUUGUAAAGUCCUUUUAACGGGGAAGAUAAUGACGGUACCCGUAGAAUAAGCCCCGGCUAACUUCGUGCCAGCAGCCGC
Molecule: ribosomal RNA, 448 nt
Filed under: uncultured bacterium
Lineage: Bacteria
Description: SSU rRNA
Rfam family: Bacterial small subunit ribosomal RNA
Source: RNAcentral